GAGCAGCCCAGAGCCUGAAUCAGUGUGUGUGUUAGUGGAAGCGUCUGGAAAGGCGCGCGAUACAGGGUGACAGCCCCGUACACAAAAAUGCACAUACUGUGAGCUCGAUGAGUAGGGCGGGACACGUGGUAUCCUGUCUGAAUAUGGGGGGACCAUCCUCCAAGGCUAAAUACUCCUGACUGACCGAUAGUGAACCAGUACCGUGAGGGAAAGGCGAAAAGAACCCCGGCGAGGGGAGUGAAAAAGAACCUGAAACCGUGUACGUACAAGCAGUGGGAGCACGCUUCGGCGUGUGACUGCGUACCUUUUGUAUAAUGGGUCAGCGACUUAUAUUCUGUAGCAAGGUUAACCGAAUAGGGGAGCCGAAGGGAAACCGAGUCUUAACUGGGCGUUAAGUUGCAGGGUAUAGACCCGAAACCCGGUGAUCUAGCCAUGGGCAGGUUGAAGGUUGGGUAACACUAACUGGAGGACCGAACCGACUAAUGUUGAAAAAUUAGCGGAUGACUUGUGGCUGGGGGUGAAAGGCCAAUCAAACCGGGAGAUAGCUGGUUCUCCCCGAAAGCU
RNAcentral lists this ribosomal RNA (564 nucleotides) under Escherichia coli. RNAcentral describes it as "partial 23S ribosomal RNA". It matches the Rfam family "Bacterial large subunit ribosomal RNA", at positions 295 to 867 of the family's 2925-position model. The record is from RNAcentral. Lineage: Bacteria; Pseudomonadati; Pseudomonadota; Gammaproteobacteria; Enterobacterales; Enterobacteriaceae.